CCUACGGGGCGCUGCAGUGGGGAAUAUUGGACAAUGGGCGAAAGCCUGAUCCAGCCAUGCCGCGUGUGCGAAGAAGGCCUUCGGGUUGUAAAGCACUUUCAGUGGGGAAGAAAGCCUUGGGGCUAAUACCCUCGAGGAAGGACAUCACCCACAGAAGAAGCACCGGCUAACUCCGUGCCAGCAGCCGCGGUAAUACGGAGGGUGCGAGCGUUAAUCGGAAUUACUGGGCGUAAAGCGCGCGUAGGCGGUCUGAUAAGCCGGUUGUGAAAGCCCCGGGCUCAACCUGGGAACGGCAUCCGGAACUGUCAGGCUAGAGUGCAGGAGAGGAAGGUAGAAUUCCCGGUGUAGCGGUGAAAUGCGUAGAGAUCGGGAGGAAUACCAGUGGCGAAGGCGGCCUUCUGGACUGACACUGACGCUGAGGUGCGAAAGCGUGGGUAGCAAACAGGAUUAGAUACCCCAGUAGUC
Molecule: ribosomal RNA, 465 nt
Filed under: Vreelandella stevensii
Lineage: Bacteria; Pseudomonadati; Pseudomonadota; Gammaproteobacteria; Oceanospirillales; Halomonadaceae
Description: partial 16S ribosomal RNA
Rfam family: Bacterial small subunit ribosomal RNA
Source: RNAcentral